This 74-nucleotide transfer RNA is filed under the name Marmota monax (woodchuck). RNAcentral's name for it is "tRNA.Thr". The record is from RNAcentral. Lineage: Eukaryota; Metazoa; Chordata; Mammalia; Rodentia; Sciuridae.
UCUGGGGAUGUCAUUCAAUGGUAGAACACUUGCCUAGUGUGCAUGAGGUCCUGGGUUUGAUUCUCAGUGCAGAA